GCCCAGGUGGUGAAAUUGGUAGACAUGCUACUUUGAGGUGGUAGUGCUCGUAAGGGUGUGCAGGUUCGAAUCCUGUCCUGGGCAC
Molecule: transfer RNA, 85 nt
Filed under: Bacteroidota bacterium
Lineage: Bacteria; Pseudomonadati; Bacteroidota
Description: tRNA-Leu
Rfam family: tRNA
About the family: Transfer RNA (tRNA) molecules are approximately 80 nucleotides in length.
Source: RNAcentral